Molecule: long non-coding RNA, 252 nt
Organism: Helianthus annuus (common sunflower)
Lineage: Eukaryota; Viridiplantae; Streptophyta; Magnoliopsida; Asterales; Asteraceae
Exons: 3
Source: RefSeq, a predicted model, not a curated record
AGGAUCUACAAGUUUUUACAGUUAUUCGCGUUAUUUUCCAACUCUGUGAGGAAAUUCCUUGCAUCUCUGCGGUUGUUGUUGCGUUACUUUCUGAGCCAGAGCCAAAAAUCGAUUAUACAUUAAAAGCUGUUGGUGGAAGUUUAACAGCCAUUCCUGGACUUUCUGACCUGAUAGAUGUCAUACUCGCCUUCUCUUCAACAACCUGUAGUUGCUGGAUCUACACGUGACGCCAUGUCAGGGAACAACACUGUC